UGGGCCAGACCUGCCAGG
RNAcentral lists this unclassified non-coding RNA (18 nucleotides) under Mus musculus (house mouse). RNAcentral's name for it is "oocyte_clustered_small_RNA11790". Lineage: Eukaryota; Metazoa; Chordata; Mammalia; Rodentia; Muridae. The record is from RNAcentral.